Symphalangus syndactylus (siamang) is the source of this 444-nucleotide long non-coding RNA. RefSeq lists it as uncharacterized. NCBI's taxonomy places the organism in Eukaryota, Metazoa, Chordata, Mammalia, Primates, Hylobatidae. The record is from RefSeq and is a predicted model, not a curated record.
CCCGAAACCCUGUCUGGGGUCUUGAGAGGCAGUCCCGAGACUGACUUCAGGCCAGGUGCAACUAACUGGCUUCCAGGAAGCAGUUUAUUCUGGGUCGUGAUUGUAGUUGCAAAGAAGAUCAACUUCCCACCCACCUGUUAGAGGAAGCCGGAAAACCGUCUCAGUCUGGAGCGUUAGGCAGGCCAGGGGAGUCAGCUGAGUGAAGAGGCCCUGGAAAGAAGGGCGCAGCUGGGUGCCUGUCUGGCCAAGGUUGCCCUGGCUCCUCCGCAGAGGGAAAUGAAACCGCAGCAAAACACCAGCAGGUUUCCACAGUGGGAGUCCACGAAAAGCAAGAGGAAGCUGACGGGCUCCAGUCUGGAGGUGUUUGGAUUUUGGAAACCCCCCGAGUCAUGGGUAAAUCAUAAGGCGUCAUGUCAAUGUAAUUAUAUCUCAUAAAAAGCCGAA